UUUUCUGAGCUUCAGUUUCCUCACUGGAUGAGUAGGAAAGUCAUGCCUGUCUGGCUUAACUAGAGGGCCUGUGGUGAGGCAUAAACUGGAGAAGAAAAUCAAACCAUUUGGUGAACUGUCAAGCUCAAUUUCCCUCUUUAAGGAAGAAAGGAAAGUGUUUUCCUGGAUACUAGAUAUGCUGAGUUGGGACAGGAGCUAAGGACAGAGGUGAGGAAACCUGCAGACAACAGCGACAUGCUCCUCAUCUUUGAGUCCCAGCGAACCUUUCCACUGUGUGUGUGUGUGCGUAUAUCUGUGUAUAAGUGGUGGUGGGACAGAGGGUGGGUGAGUAGGAUGGUGGGAUGUUGGGAUUGCUGAGUGGGAAUAGGCAGUGGGAAUGUCAAAAGUAUUUUUGUUGUUGUUGUUUGAAACAGGAUCUCACUCUGUUCCCCAGGCUGGAAUGCAGUUACUGAUCACCUGCAGGCUUGAACUCCAGGGUUCAAGCGAUCCUCCUACUUCAGCCUCCUGAGCAGCUAAGGACUACAGGUGUGCACCACCAUGCUGGGCUAAUUUUUUUUUUUUUUUUGAGAUGGAGUCUGGCUCUGUCACCCAGCCUGGAGUGCAGUGGCGCGAUCUCGGCUCACUGCAAGCUUCGCCUCCCGGGUUCACGCCAUUCUCCUGUCUCAGCUUCCCAAAUAGCUGGGACUACAGUCUCCCACCACCAUGCCCGGCUAAUUUUUUGUAUUUGUAGUAGAGAUGGGGUUUCACUGUGUUAGCCAGGACGGUCUCGAUCUCCUGACCUCGUGAUCUGCCCACCUCGGCCUCCCAAAGUGCUGGGAUUACAGGCGUGAGCCACUGCACCAUGCUGGGCUAAUUUUUAAAUUUGUUGUAUAGAUGGGAUCUUGCUAUGUUGCCCAGGCUGGUCUCGAACUCCUGGCUUCAAGCGAUCCUCCCACCUUGGCCUCCCAAAGUGCUGGGGUUGUAGGCAUGAACCACCACACCCAGCCAUGGGAGUAUUUUUCUUCCCUUUCAGUGAUUCUAAUGGAUUGUGAGGAGCACAGGAGGGAGGAGAAUCUAAUUUUUAUUUCAUGUCUACCAUUCAUUUUCUCCUGUGCAAAAUCAAGGUUUGGACUUGAUGGGCUAUCUUCAAUUUUUUCUCUGGUGCUAAUGUACUGAUUCCAUAAGCAAAUUCGAGAGCCCAUGUAAACAGUAUGGUGCCUGGUACAGGGUGGGUGUUCAAUGAAUGGCAACUAUCAUUAUUAUUCACCCAGCACAUUAUGUUCCUGAAAACCAGGAACUGCUUCCUGUCUGACCCACUGCAGUGGUGGAGAGGAUCAAGGGAAAUAAUGAUCAUGGAUGUGCUUAGGAGACGUAAGGUGAGGUACACCAUCAUGGAGCUGUCUCUGCUCUCCCUGUCCCUUCAGUGUGCAUGGUCCAUACCACUCAGUCAUUCCUUACCCACUCUACAGAUUUUACUAAGAAUUGCUGUGAGCUGGGCACCCUUCUACGCUCUGCAGACACCAUGGCUAGUAAGACAGGCAAAGACCUGCCAUCUGGAGCUUGUUUGGAUAUAGGGUAGGGGGAUGGGGAGAAGGGAGAUAAACAAUAAACAAGUAAAUUUACACUCUUUUAUUGUGAAUCAUCCUUUCACUGGUCUUGUCUUAACUCCAUGAACACAGCGACAGUGUCCUAUGUGUUUUCUAUUUAUUUGUAUUCUCCACCUGCUUUCCAAUAAAUGUCUUAGAUAAGCUGCUAUAUCAAUGCAGAUUAAGUCAUACUAACUUCUUGUAGCAUCUUAAUUAAAUGGGCUCUCUGGAGUCAGACUUCUAGGUUCAAAAUCCAGCUUCAUGACUUAUUAUUUAUUUAUUUUUAAUAAAAACUAUUUUUAAGAAACAUAUUUACAACAUGACGUUUUGAUAUACAUAUACAUAGUGAAAUGAUUAUUCCAGUUAAACAAAUUAAUAUAUCCAUCUCCUCAUACAGUUGCCGCUAUUUUUGUGUAUGUGGUGAGAGCACUUGAAAUCUCUUCUCUUAGAAAAUUUCCAGUAUUCGGCUGGGCGCGGUGGCACACACCUGUAAUCCCAGCACUUUGGGAGGCUGAGGCGGGUGGAUCACCUGAGGUCAGGAGUUCGAGACCAGCCUGGCCAACGUGGUGAAACCCGGUCUCUACAAAAAAUACAAAAAUUGGCCGGGCAUGGUUAGUGGCACACGCCUGUAAUCCCAGCUACUCGGGAGGCUGAGGCAGAAUUGCUUGAGCCAGGGAGACGGAGGUUGCAGUGAGCCGAGAUUGUGCCACUGUACUCCAGCCUGGCCGACAGAGAAAGACUCUGUCUCCAAAAAAAAAAAAAAGAAAAUUUCCGGUAUCCAAUAUAAUAUUAUUAACUCUACAGUAGCCCUCCCUUAUCUGUAUUUUGGUUAUUCUGGUUUUGCUUACUGAGGUCUCAGUUACUCUCGGUCAACCAUGGUCAGAAAAUAUUACAUGGAAAAUUCCAGACAUAAACAUUUACAUAACUUUUAUUACAGUAUAUUGUUAUAAUUGUUCUAUUUUGUUAUUAUUGUUGUUAAUCUCUUACUGUGCCUAAUUUAUAAACUAAAGUUUAUCAUAGGUAGUAUAGGAAAAAACACAUAAUAAAAUAGUAUAUAACAGGUACUAUCCAUGGUUUCAGGCAUCCACUGGGGGUCUUGGGACAUCCACCACAGAUAAAUGGGAACUGCUGUAGUCCUCAUGCUACACAUUCGAUUCUACAUAACUGCAACUUUUUGCCCUUUGACCAGAAUCUCCCAAUUUCUCUUACAGCCCCGCCACUGGUAGCCAAAGUUCUACUCUUUGCCUCCAUGUAUUUGACUUUUUUAGAUUCCACAUGUAAGUGAGAUCAUGUAGUAUUUUCCUUUCUAUGUCUGCCUUGCUGUUAUUAAUGAUGACUUUCAACAAGUUGCUUACUUUCUCUGGGCCUAAAUUUCUUCAUCUGUAAAGUAAGAUAUUGGACCUAACCUGUUUGGGGCAAUUGAACCAUUAAAGAAUCUGAUGAGGGCUGGGCACUGUGGCUUAUGCCUGUAAUCCCAGCACUUUGGGAGGUGGAGGUGGGUGGAUUGCUUGAGCUCAGGAGUUGAAGAGCAGCCUGGACAACAUGGCGAACCCCAUCUCUACUAAAAAUACAAAAAUUAGCUGGGCAUGGUGGCAUGCCUGUAGUCCCAGCUACUCAGUGGGGAGGCAGGAGGAUCGCUUGAGCCCAGGAGGCAAAGGUUGCAGUGAGCCAAGAUCGAGCCACUGCACUCUAGCCUGGGUGACAGAGUGAGACCCUGUCUCAAAAAAAGAAAAGAAAAGAAAAGAAAGGGCCGGGCGCGGUGGCUCAUGCCUGUAAUCCCAGCACUUUGGGAAGCCAAAGCGGGCGGAUCACCCGAGGUCAGGAGUUCGAGACCAGUCUGGCCAAUGUGGUGAAACCCUGUCUCUACUAAAAAUGCAAAAAUUAGCUGGGCGUGGUGGCGGGUGGCUGUAAUCCCAGCUACUCGGGAGGCUGAGGUAGGAUAAUUGCUGGAACCCAGGAGACGGAGGUUGCAGUGAGCCGAGAUCAUGCCACUGCACUCCAGCCUGGGCGACAGAGCAAGACUCUGUCUCCAAAAAAAAAAAAAAAAAAAAAAAAGCCAGUGCUGUGGCUCACACCUGUAAUCCCAGCACUUUGGAAAGCCGAGGCAGGAGGAUCACUUGAGGUCAGGAGUUUGAGACCAGCCUGGCCAACAUGGUGAAACCCCGUCUCUACUGAAAGUACAAAAAUUUAGCCAGGCGUGGUGGCACAUGCCUGUAGUCCCAGCUACUUGGGAGGCUGAGGCAGGCGAAUGGCUUGAUCCUGGGAGGUAGAGGUUGCGGUGAGCAGAGGUCACGCCAUUGCACUCCAGCCUGGGCCACAGAGCGACACUCUGUCUCAAGAAAAAAAAAAAAAACCUGAUGAGGAUGUGAGGGUGAUCUGGCUGCAACAUCUGUCACCCUAUUGAUCACCAGGGUUGGUUCUGUUACCGACCAUAGUUUCUUGCGUUCUCCAUGCAAUAGAAAUUGACAUGAGGCUAAAAGACUUUUCCCAGACAAGACUUCAUUGGAGCUUUUGCCUGGACAUAAGGGAGGCAGCACAAGAGAGAAUUCCCUGACUGACUCUGUGCAAAGAGCCAGUAGGGCUUUUUAAUUAGGCAAAGCAUGAGAAUUGACAUCAGGGGUGGGGUAUGCAGGCUGGGCUGGGCAAAGCAUGUGAGGGGUAGGGUAUGCAGGUUAGCACUAUUUGGUUGUAAUGGUUACCUUGAGUAAUGGGCUACCUGGUGGUCUAGCUGGGGCAACAAGUCUGUAAAUCAGUUGUUCAGCAUUCCUUCCUGAGGUGGAAUACUCCACAACCUUGGUUUGAUACUUGGAUUUCCUAAGGCCAGUUCCUGGAAUUUGUUAAGUAAAAGACAUGGUUGAACAUGGUGUCAGUGAGAUGGUGGUGUGGGGUUUGUGAUCAGUGGGAAUUCAUGAAAGAAAGUUCAGUGCUGGUGAGCUGCAGCCAAGCCCCACUCCCAGUCUGUCUCAAUUUGGCUGAUCUAGCUGGCUAGGCCCGUGUCCCCUUCUCUCUUUACCGUUCCAUGUGCGUCCCUCCUAAAGCUGCGCACUUGGUUUAACCACCCAAUGGGUUCUUCUUGCCCGCUGCCCAGAUACAGCAAGUUUAUCAAGACACAGGAAUUGCAAUAGAGAAAGAGUUCGAUACAAAUAGAGUCAGCUAAACAGGAGACAGGGGUUUUAUUAUUACUCAAAUCAGCCUCCCUGAAAAUUUGGAGGCUAGGGUUUUUUAAAGGUAGUUUGGCGGGCAGGGGGCUCGGGAAGCGGGAAUGCUGAUUGGUUGGGUCGGGGAUGAAAUCAUAAGGAGUUGAAGCUAUCCUCUUGCACUGAGUUGGUUCCUGGGUGGGGGCCAGAAGACCAGAUGAGCCAGUUUACUGGUCUGGGUGGUGCCAGCUGAUCCAUCGGAAGGCAGGGUCUGAAAAAUACCUCAAACACCCUUCUUAGGUUUUACAAUAAUAAUAUUAUCUACAGGAGCAAUUGGGGAGGUUCAUGAUCUCGAGACCUUUGGCUGCAUGACUCCUGAGCCGUCAUUUCUAAUCUUGUGGCCAAUGUGUUAGUUUUACAAAGGCUUUCUGGUCCCCAGGCAAGGAGUGGGUUGGUCUCAGGGAGGGGCUGUUAUCAUCUUUGUUUCAAAGUUAAACUACAAACUAAAUUCCUCCCAAAGUUAGUGCUCCCUAUGCCCAGGAAUGAACAAGGGCAGCUGGGAGGUUAGAAGCAAGAUGGAGUCAAUUAGGUCAGAUUUCUUUCACUGUCAUAAUUUUCUCACUGCUAUAAUUUUUGCAAAGGUAGUUUCAGAAGAGGACAACCUUCCCCAAUACAGGAGGACUGUUCUUUGGUCAAGGGUAUACGAGUAGCUGCGCUCCCCUGCUAGAACCUCCAAACAAGCUCUCAAGGUCCAUUUGUAGGAGAAUGUAGCGUAGUCAAACUUCCAAGACUCCAGAC
Pan troglodytes (chimpanzee) is the source of this 5500-nucleotide long non-coding RNA. RefSeq lists it as uncharacterized. The transcript has 2 exons. The record is from RefSeq and is a predicted model, not a curated record. NCBI's taxonomy places the organism in Eukaryota, Metazoa, Chordata, Mammalia, Primates, Hominidae.